Molecule: ribosomal RNA, 1018 nt
Filed under: uncultured bacterium
Lineage: Bacteria
Description: bacterial SSU rRNA
Rfam family: Bacterial small subunit ribosomal RNA
Source: RNAcentral
CGGAUGGGGCGGCGGCUUACACAUGCAAGUCGAGCGGAAACGAUACCAGCUUGCUGGUAGGCGUCGAGCGGCGGACGGGUGAGUAAUACUUAGGAAUCUACCUAGUAGUGGGGGAUAGCUCGGGGAAACUCGAAUUAAUACCGCAUACGACCUACGGGAGAAAGGGGGCAGUUUACUGCUCUCGCUAUUAGAUGAGCCUAAGUCGGAUUAGCUAGAUGGUGGGGUAAAGGCCUACCAUGGCGACGAUCUGUAGCUGGUCUGAGAGGAUGAUCAGCCACACCGGGACUGAGACACGGCCCGGACUCCUACGGGAGGCAGCAGUGGGGAAUAUUGGACAAUGGGGGAAACCCUGAUCCAGCCAUGCCGCGUGUGUGAAGAAGGCCUUUUGGUUGUAAGGCACUUUAAGCAGUGAAGAAGACUCCUCGGUUAAUACCCGUGGACGUUGACAUUAGCUGCAGAAUAAGCACCGGCUAACUCUGUGCCAGCAGCCGCGGUAAUACAGAGGGUGCAAGCGUUAAUCGGAAUUACUGGGCGUAAAGCGAGCGUAGGAGGCUUGAUAAGUCAGAUGUGAAAUCCCCGGGCUUAACCUGGGAACUGCAUCUGAAACUGUUAGGCUUGAGUAGGUGAGAGGAAGGUAGAAUUCCAGGUGUAGCGGUGAAAUGCGUAGAGAUCUGGAGGAAUACCGAUGGCGAAGGCAGCCUUCUGGCAUCAUACUGACACUGAGGCUCGAAAGCGUGGGUAGCAAACAGGAUUAGAUACCCUGGUAGUCCACGCCGUAAACGAUGUCUACUAGUCGUUGGGUCCCUUGAGGUCUUAGUGACGCAGCUAACGCAAUAAGUAGACCGCCUGGGGAGUACGGCCGCAAGGUUAAAACUCAAAUGAAUUGACGGGGGCCCGCACAAGCGGUGAGCAUGUGUUUAUUCGACGCACGCGAGACUUACUGUCUUGACAUAUCUAGAUCUGCAGAGAUGCAGGAGUGCUUCGGACUAGAAUACAGUGCUGCAUGCUGUCGUCAGCU